GACGAACGCUGGCGGCGUGCUUAACACAUGCAAGUCGAACGGUGAAGCACCUUCCUUUUGGUGGGUGUGGAUGAGUGGCGCACGGGUGAGUAACACGUGAGUAACCUGCCCCCUUCUUCUGGAUAACCGCAUGAAAGUGUGGCUAAUACGGGAUAUUCUGUGCCUGCUGCAUGGUGGGGGUGGGAAAGAUGCGCUUUUGGGUGUUUUUGGUGGGGGAUGUGCUCGCGGCCUAUAAGCUUGUGGGUGGGGUGAUGGCCUACCAAGGCGGUGACGGGUAGCCGGGAGGAGAGGGGGCACGGUCACACGGGGACCGCGGCACAGACUACAAGGGUACGGGGGAGAGCAGUAGGGUAGACAGCAGAAGGGAGGCAAGCCCGAUGAAGCGACGCCGGGUGAGGGAGGGAGGCGUUCGGGUUGUCAUCCUGUUUGGACAGUGAAGCAGGCCUGUAACUUGUGGGUGGGUUGACGGUAGCUGGAGAAGAAGCGCCGGCUAACUACGUG
This 501-nucleotide ribosomal RNA is filed under the name uncultured bacterium. Its description in RNAcentral is "partial 16S ribosomal RNA". It matches the Rfam family "Bacterial small subunit ribosomal RNA", at positions 28 to 507 of the family's 1533-position model. The record is from RNAcentral.